UUCCAGCAAACCUCGCCUGAUCCAAGGACGACAGUCAUUAACUUAUUUUUCUAAGUAAUCCUCUGCUGAAAGCUGUGAGCCGCCUGGGGUGGACGAGAGCAGGGUUUGCAAGAGCCGGCACACGGUAGGUCUGGAGCACCUGCUUGUUUGGUAAACAGGAGAUGGUGAUUGAGUAUGUGUCUCCUUGAGCUGGGCACUGGGAUAAGACGAUGUCACUGACAACAAGCGGAAUAAAGGCCAUGAGGCCCUGAGCAUCACCAUCAUCACGGUCAUUCUCACCAUCAUCAUUAGGAACAUCUACCGACUACUAACUCUGUACCAGACACUGUUCUAAGCCUCUCCAACAAUCCUGCAAC
RNAcentral lists this long non-coding RNA (356 nucleotides) under Bos grunniens (domestic yak). RNAcentral's name for it is "lncRNA (ENSBGRG00000022524.1)". Lineage: Eukaryota; Metazoa; Chordata; Mammalia; Artiodactyla; Bovidae. The record is from RNAcentral.